GAGAAGGAAAGGCUCCUUAUGAUGAUUCACACCCUAGAGUUAAAAGCUGAAACCUCUCUUUUAGAUACCAGAGAGUUGGAGUCUAAAUUGGAGGCCGAGCUAAGGCUGAAAGAGCUUCUCCGUGAGGAGGAAUUGAAGUGGGCUCUCAGAGCUAAGGUUCGCAAGGUUGUCCAAGGUGAGGAUAAUACCCAAUUCUUUCAUAUGAUUGCUAACGGAAAGCAUCGUAAGAAGAGAAUUUUUCAAUUAGAACAAGAUGAAGGAACGAUAGUUGGUCAGGAAAACCUGAAAGUUUACAUUACCAACUACUAUAAGCAGUUAUUUGGACCUCCGGAACGGAGUUUUGUGUCUUUGGAUGAGUCAAGAGUUGAGGAUGUUCCCCAACUUCAGACGGAAGAGAAUGAGAUUUUGACUGCCCCUUUCACGGAGAAGGAGGUGUAUGAG
This 441-nucleotide ribosomal RNA is filed under the name Triticum aestivum (bread wheat). Its description in RNAcentral is "partial small subunit ribosomal RNA". The record is from RNAcentral. Lineage: Eukaryota; Viridiplantae; Streptophyta; Magnoliopsida; Poales; Poaceae.